CCUACGGGUGGCAGCAGUGAGGAAUAUUGGUCAAUGGCCGGAAGGCUGAACCAGCCAUGCCGCGUGAAGGUCAAUGCCCUAUGGGCGUUAAACUUCUUUUGUGCGGGAGCAAUAAUGGUCACGUGUGGCCAGACGAGAGUACCGUACGAAUAAGCAUCGGCUCACUCCGUGCCAGCCGCCGCGGUAAUACGGGGGAUGCAAGCGUUAUCCGGAUUUAGUGGGUUUAAAGGGUGCGUAGGCUGUGAGGUAAGUCACCGGUGAAAUGCCACCGCUCAACGGGGUGAAGUGACAUUGAUACUGCCGUGCGUGAAUGCGGAUGCCGUGGGAGGAAUGUGUGGUGUAGCGGUGAAAUGCAUAGAUAUCACACAGAACACCGAUUGCGAAGGCAUCUCACGAAUCCGCGAUUGACGCUGAUGCACGAAAGCGUGGGUAUCAAACAGGAUUAGAUACCCGAGUAGUC
RNAcentral lists this ribosomal RNA (460 nucleotides) under uncultured bacterium. RNAcentral describes it as "partial 16S ribosomal RNA". It matches the Rfam family "Bacterial small subunit ribosomal RNA", at positions 338 to 795 of the family's 1533-position model. The record is from RNAcentral.